AUGGGGGACGCAGGAGGAUAAGCGCGUNUUGGAUAUCCGCGUCCAAGCAGUUAGGCUGANACAAAUCCGUUUCCCAUAAGGCUGAGCUGUGAUGGCGAGCGAAAUAUAGUAGCGGAAGUUCCUGAUUCCACACUGCCAAGAAAAAGCCUCUAGCGAGGUGAGAGGUGCCCGUACCGCAAACCGACACAGUAGGCGAGAGAGAAUCCUAAGGUGAUCAAGAGAACUCGUUAAGGAACUCGGCAAAUGACCCCGUAACUUCGGGAGAAGGGGUGCCUGUUAGGUGCAAGCCCGAGAGAGCCGCAGUGAAUAGCCCAGGCGACUGUUUAGCAAAACACAGGUCUCUGCGAGGCCGNAAGGCGAAGUAUAGGGGCUGACGCCUGCCCGGUGCUGGAAGGUUAAGAGGAGCGCUUAGCGUAAGCGAAGGUGCGAAUUGAAGCCCCAGUAAACGGCGGCCGUAACGAUAACGGUCCUAAGGUAGCGAAAUUCCUUGUCGGGUAAGUUCCGACCCGCACGAAAGGCGCAACGAUCUGGGCACUGUCUCAACGAGACUCGGUGAAAUUAUAGUACCUGUGAAGAUGCAGGUUACCCGCGACAGGACGGAAAGACCCCGUGGAGCUUUACUACAGCCUGAUAUUGAAUGUUGGUACAGCUUGUACAGGUAGGAGCCUUGAAACCGAGCGCCAGCUUCGGUGGAGGCAUCGGUGGGAUACUACCCUGGCUGUAUUGACCUUCUAACCCGCCGCCCUUAUCGGGCGGGAGACAGUGUCAGGUGGGCAGUUUGACUGGGGCGGUCGCCUCCUAAAGGUAACGGAGGCGCCCAAAGGUUCCUCAGAAUGGUUGGAAAUCAUUCGCAGAGUGUAAAGGCACAAGGGAGCUUGACUGCGAGACCUACAAGUCGAGCAGGGACGAAAGUCGGGCUUAGUGAUCCGGUGGUUCGCAUGGAAGGGCCAUCGCUCAACGGAUAAAGCUACCCCGGGAUAACAGGCUUAUCUCCCCAAGAGUCCACAUCGACGGGAGGUCGGCACCUCGAUGUCGGCUCAUCGCAUCCUGGGGCUGUAGUCGGUCCCAAGGGUUGGGCUGUUCGCCCAUUAAAGCGGUACGCGAGCUGGGUUCAGAACGUCGUGAGACAGUUCGGUCCCUAUCCGUCGCGGGCGCAGGAAAUUUGAGAGGAGCUGUCCUUAGUACGAGGACCGGGAUGGACGCACCCUGGUGUACCAGUUGUUCUGCCAAGGGCAUCGCUGGGUAGCUAUGNGCGGACGGGAUAAGUGCUGAAAGCAUCUAAGCAUGAAGCCCCUCAAGAUGAGAUUUCCAUUCCGCAAGGAGAUCCCUGAAAGAUGAUCAGUUGAUAGGUCUGAGGUGGNNGNGUGGCGACACAUGGAGCUGACAGAUACUAAUCGAUCGAGG
This 1404-nucleotide ribosomal RNA is filed under the name metagenome. RNAcentral describes it as "bacterial LSU rRNA". It matches the Rfam family "Bacterial large subunit ribosomal RNA", at positions 1465 to 2912 of the family's 2925-position model. The record is from RNAcentral.